This 253-nucleotide ribosomal RNA is filed under the name uncultured bacterium. RNAcentral's name for it is "partial 16S ribosomal RNA". It matches the Rfam family "Bacterial small subunit ribosomal RNA", at positions 524 to 776 of the family's 1533-position model. The record is from RNAcentral.
UACGGAGGGUGCAAGCGUUAUCCGGAUUCACUGGGUUUAAAGGGUGCGUAGGCGGGCAGGUAAGUCCGUGGUGAAAUCUCUGAGCUUAACUCAGAAACUGCCAUGGAUACUAUCUGUCUUGAAUAUUGUGGAGGUAAGCGGAAUAUGUCAUGUAGCGGUGAAAUGCUUAGAUAUGACAUAGAACACCAAUUGCGAAGGCAGCUUACUACACAGUUAUUGACGCUGAGGCACGAAAGCGUGGGGAUCAAACAGG